GGUCCCAUCGUCUAGUGGUCUAGGACACCGCCCUCUCACGGCGAAAACAGGGGUUCGAGUCCCCUUGGGACUACCA
Molecule: transfer RNA, 76 nt
Filed under: Deltaproteobacteria bacterium
Lineage: Bacteria; Pseudomonadati; Myxococcota; Myxococcia
Description: tRNA-Glu
Rfam family: tRNA
About the family: Transfer RNA (tRNA) molecules are approximately 80 nucleotides in length. Their secondary structure includes four short double-helical elements and three loops (D, anti-codon, and T loops).
Source: RNAcentral